Molecule: ribosomal RNA, 253 nt
Filed under: uncultured bacterium
Lineage: Bacteria
Description: partial 16S ribosomal RNA
Rfam family: Bacterial small subunit ribosomal RNA
Source: RNAcentral
UACGAAGGGGGCUAGCGUUGCUCGGAAUCACUGGGCGUAAAGGGCUCGUAGGCGGCCAACUAAGUCAGACGUGAAAUCCCUCGGCUUAACCGGGGAACUGCAUCUGAUACUGGAUGGCUUGAGUUCGGGAGAGGGAUGUGGAAUUCCAGGUGUAGCGGUGAAAUGCGUAGAUAUCUGGAGGAACACCGGUGGCGAAGGCGGCAUCCUGGACCGACACUGACGCUGAGGAGCGAAAGCCAGGGGAGCAAACGGG